CGGAUCACGGAUAAGGGUAUGGGUACUUAUAUACCAAUAAGACACGCGUACAGGUGCUAACUUUGGCAUCCAAACGGGUAUGGGCUCGGACACAGGGAAUUUUUCAAAUCGCGGGUAUGGGGAUGGGUACUAUAGUACCGUGCCUAAACCAUGCCCAUUGCCAUCCCUAUUGGCAUGUAGAGAUUGUUGGGGGAAAUCAAAGCCCCCAAGAUCUUUUGCUUUGAUUCCCCUCCUAUGUGAUUUAAUUUUGGUUGGAGUGAAUUAGGGUUCUUGAGAGUAGUUAUGUGGUUUGAAGAAUCUAGUGGAAAUUAGGUGAUUUAAAGGUGAGAAAUAGAGAGAGGGUGACGAGAGGGUUCCAUUGGUGGUGGUAGGUGGCAUUUCUGGGUUGCUCUGUAUCCUCCGGCGCGGUGGAGCGAUUUUCAUGGAAUAAAAACUUAAGAGAAAGGGAGAAGAUGUCUGGUAGGAUGAGAAGUGAAAUGAGGUGAAUCUGAAAACCAUGUUCCACACUUUGCCCUCACACGCCCAUGGACCUCCAAUCAUUAAGCCCAAAGGGACUUACUGACAACACCCCAUUUUUGCUAACACACGCCCUCUCAUGCUGAACUCUAACAAGACCAUUGGCUUGGGCUUCAUCAGACUGGGCUCAACGCCCCAUUGCUGGCCAAACUCUCUUUUUCAGCUUCGCAUACCCUAUACAGAGUGUUAAUUAUUUAAUUUUUGUGUGAUUUUUUUUCUUUUUC
This 740-nucleotide long non-coding RNA is filed under the name Lathyrus oleraceus (garden pea). RNAcentral's name for it is "Pisum sativum (pea) long non-coding RNA (PSAT_LNC029395)". The record is from RNAcentral. Lineage: Eukaryota; Viridiplantae; Streptophyta; Magnoliopsida; Fabales; Fabaceae.